ACAGCCCUGGGAGGUGAAUUACUUACAGAUUGUUUCUGCUUUCUACUUUGCAAUGAUAAAACCAGCAUGGCUAAAUGACUUCCCCGAGCAAAAGGGAAAUGCAUGCCAGAGACAGGACAACACUUUUUCUCUGCUAACCUAAAUUCCCCAGGAACUGCUGAGACGUGGGGACUUUGACCUGAGUGGCUGUAUUUUGUCUGAAGCUAACAGCUGCUGCUGUAGCUCUGAGGUGGAGUCCAGCCACGCUGUGAAGGAGGCUCCCUGCCCGUGAACUCCGAAACACAAGAGAAAGAGCAGAGACAGUAACCUGUUGACCACAUGUGGCUGAAGCUGAGGAGAGGAGAGGAGAGGAGAGGAGGGGAGAGGAGAG
This is a long non-coding RNA of Cygnus olor (mute swan), 370 nucleotides long. RefSeq lists it as uncharacterized. The record is from RefSeq and is a predicted model, not a curated record. NCBI's taxonomy places the organism in Eukaryota, Metazoa, Chordata, Aves, Anseriformes, Anatidae. The transcript is spliced from 3 exons.